UGGGGAUGACGUCAAGUCAGCAUGGCCUUUAUGUCUGGGGCCACACACGUGCUACAAUGGCCGGUACAAACCGUCGCGAUCUCGCGAGAGGGAGCUAAUCGGAGAAAGCCGGUCUCAGUUCGGAUUGUAGGUUUAAUCGUCGCCUGCAUGAAGUUGGAAUCGCUAGUAAUCGCGGAUCAGCACGCCGCGGUGAAUACGUUCCCGGGCCUCGGCUCUCCGCCCGUCACAUCACGAAAGCCGGCUGUACUUGAGCCGCUCGCUAACCCGCAAGGGGGGCAAGCGCCUAAGGUA
This 291-nucleotide ribosomal RNA is filed under the name uncultured Acidobacteriota bacterium. RNAcentral describes it as "uncultured Acidobacteria bacterium partial 16S ribosomal RNA". It matches the Rfam family "Bacterial small subunit ribosomal RNA", at positions 1174 to 1464 of the family's 1533-position model. The record is from RNAcentral. Lineage: Bacteria; Pseudomonadati; Acidobacteriota.